Molecule: small RNA, 125 nt
Filed under: Marmota monax (woodchuck)
Lineage: Eukaryota; Metazoa; Chordata; Mammalia; Rodentia; Sciuridae
Source: RNAcentral
GCCGGGUGUGGUGGCGCUCGCCUGUAAUCCCUACUGCUCAGGAGGCUGAGUCAGGAGGAUCAAGAGUUCAAAACCAGCCUCAGCAACAGCAAGGCCCUAAGCAAUUCAGUGAGACCCUGUCUCUA